Molecule: ribosomal RNA, 517 nt
Filed under: Anisomorpha ferruginea
Lineage: Eukaryota; Metazoa; Arthropoda; Insecta; Phasmatodea; Pseudophasmatidae
Also listed under: 1 other name
Description: partial 16S ribosomal RNA
Rfam family: Bacterial large subunit ribosomal RNA
Source: RNAcentral
AAAACAUCUUUUCUUGAAAAUUUAUUUGAGAUCUGACCUGCCCAAUGAUUUUAUUUAAUGGCCGCGGUAUUUUGACCGUGCAAAGGUAGCAUAAUCAUUAGUUUAUUAAUUGUGGACUUGUAUGAAUGGUUAGACGAAAUAUUAACUGUCUCUUAUUUAUUAGUUGAAUUUAAUUUUUUAGUUAAAAAGCUUAAAUUUUAUUGUAAGACAAGAAGACCCUAUAGAUCUUUAUUUUUUAUAAAAAUUAAUUUAUUAGCUUAUUUUUAAUAAAUUUUUAUUAAAUUUUUUGUUGGGGUGACAUGGAGAUAUAUUUAACUCUUUAUUUUAUAUACAAUUAUAUUUGAUUAAUUUGACCUUUUAUUAUUGUUUUAAGAUAUAGAUACCUUAGGGAUAACAGCGUAAUUUUUUUUUAAAGUUCUUAUUGACAAAGAAGAUUGCGACCUCGAUGUUGGAUUAAGAUUAUUUUAAGGUGUAGGUGCUUUAUAAAUUAGGUCUGUUCGACCUUUAAAUUCUUACA